RNAcentral lists this transfer RNA (73 nucleotides) under Myotis lucifugus (little brown bat). It matches the Rfam family "tRNA". From Rfam's summary of the family: Transfer RNA (tRNA) molecules are approximately 80 nucleotides in length. Their secondary structure includes four short double-helical elements and three loops (D, anti-codon, and T loops). The record is from Rfam by way of RNAcentral. Lineage: Eukaryota; Metazoa; Chordata; Mammalia; Chiroptera; Vespertilionidae.
GCCGGUGUUGCUCAGUGGAUAGAGCGUUGGCCUGAGGACUGAAGGGUCCCAGGUUCGAAUCCUGUCAAGGGCA